AUAACAGGGAUGAAGUCGUAACAAGGCAUCCGUAGCGGAAGCUGUGGAUGGAUCAACUCCUUU
RNAcentral lists this ribosomal RNA (63 nucleotides) under bacterium. RNAcentral's name for it is "partial 16S ribosomal RNA". It matches the Rfam family "Bacterial small subunit ribosomal RNA", at positions 1471 to 1533 of the family's 1533-position model. The record is from RNAcentral.